Molecule: long non-coding RNA, 372 nt
Organism: Peromyscus eremicus (cactus mouse)
Lineage: Eukaryota; Metazoa; Chordata; Mammalia; Rodentia; Cricetidae
Exons: 2
Source: RefSeq, a predicted model, not a curated record
UUAAAUCUGUGCGUGAUUCUUCUUCAUCGAUACGACCCUGUACAGAGUCUCAAGGUGUGACUGAGAGCAGAAAUACAAGAAUGAUGCAGUGUGCAGAAGCCAACCUCUUAGUUAAAAGAAGUGGAGAAGGAUGGAGACUGAAUCUAGAGUUCCCAGGCUGGGGCAUUCUUCAAUGUUUGGGACCUACGCCAUCCUUUGUCUGGACUCAUUACAACAAUACCACUUAGCCCUGUCUUCACCAUGUGAGCAGCAAAAGAUGGUCUAUGGAGAUUUUCUUUUCCCUUUUUUGCUUUGUAUGUUCAUAUUCAAAGGGUUUUUAUAAGGAAGAAGUUGUCUUCCUUUAUAGUUCAUAAAAUGUCUUUAUUCCUAUGA